UAGAGAUAUGCUAUUCUCUUCGGAGACAUCGGAGACAGGUGGUGCAUGGUUGUCGUCAGCUCGUGUCGUGAGAUGUUGGGUUAAGUCCCGCAACGAGCGCAACCCUUACUGUUAGUUGCUACGCAAGAGCACUCUAGCGAGACUGCCGUUGACAAAACGGAGGAAGGUGAGGACGACGUCAAAUCAUCAUGCCCCUUAUGUCCUGGGCCACACACGUACUACAAUGGUGGUCAACAGAGGGAAGCAAUACCGCGAGGUGGAGCAAAUCCCUAAAAGCCAUCCCAGUUCGGAUCGCGGGCUGCAACCCGCCUGCGUGAAGUUGGAAUCGCUAGUAAUCGCGGAUCAGCAUGCCGCGGUGAAUACGUUCCCGGGCCUUGUACACACCGCCCGUCACACCAUGAGAGUCGGGAACACCCGAAGUCCGUAGCCUAACCGCAAGGGGGGCGCGGCCGAAGGUGGGUUCGAUAAUUGGGGUGAAGUCGUAACAAGGUAGCCGUAUCGGAAGGUGCG
RNAcentral lists this ribosomal RNA (510 nucleotides) under uncultured bacterium. Its description in RNAcentral is "bacterial SSU rRNA". It matches the Rfam family "Bacterial small subunit ribosomal RNA", at positions 1001 to 1516 of the family's 1533-position model. The record is from RNAcentral.